ACCAUAUCACGUUGAAACACCGAAGUUAAGCAACGUCGAGCCUGGUUAGUACCAAGAUGGGUGGUCGCUUGGGAAUACUUGGUGCUGUAU
Non-coding RNA from Acanthosepion pharaonis, 90 nucleotides. Lineage: Eukaryota; Metazoa; Mollusca; Cephalopoda; Sepiida; Sepiidae. The record is from the annotation of a GenBank genome assembly.